Acanthaster planci (crown-of-thorns starfish) is the source of this 564-nucleotide long non-coding RNA. The record is from RefSeq and is a predicted model, not a curated record. NCBI's taxonomy places the organism in Eukaryota, Metazoa, Echinodermata, Asteroidea, Valvatida, Acanthasteridae.
GCGUGGGCUGGGUGCACCGCGCACGUGUUGCUUGCAUCCACCACACCCUAUCAUUUGUAUCACACCAUGGUUUUUCUCUUCCACGUCUGUGGCCGUAUCGACAUGCAGACUUUAUAGCACCACGUCGGUGGAUGGGCACGCCGGAGGUUUCUUCAUUAUAUGUACCUCACAAAUAAAUUUAUGUUAGCUGAGGAAAUAGUGCUUGAUUCAAGUAAUCAGAAUGCUAUCCAUAUGACUCUCGGAGUAAAGCAAAUUCCAGCGGCAGCUAACUGAGGGACAAGUUCAAUGCCUGUUCAAAUUGAGACCACGUUUACAACCUUGGAAUUACAUGCUUACUGUCGAAAUCCUCCUGUCACUGAAGGAAAUUACGUCAUUUGGAAAAUACUUGCAUUGGAAUAUCACUUGGGAGGUAUUAACAGAACAGAUCAAAUGCAGGAGCAGUGAAAAUCUGUGACAAGAAACCUGGAGGGAGGAGUUGGUUUAACAAAGAGCAAGUUCUUUGGGACAAGGUGGAGCUUUAUCCGGAAACAUCUGCCCUUUCAUAGUCCUACAUGUAUAUUGAGG